Molecule: ribosomal RNA, 580 nt
Filed under: uncultured bacterium
Lineage: Bacteria
Description: partial 16S ribosomal RNA
Rfam family: Bacterial small subunit ribosomal RNA
Source: RNAcentral
UGGGGAAUAUUGGACAAUGGGCGCAAGCCUGAUCCAGCCAUGCCGCGUGGGUGAAGAAGGCCUUCGGGUUGUAAAGCCCUUUUGUUGGGAAAGAAAAGCAGUCGGUUAAUACCCGAUUGUUCUGACGGUACCCAAAGAAUAAGCACCGGCUAACUUCGUGCCAGCAGCCGCGGUAAUACGAAGGGUGCAAGCGUUACUCGGAAUUACUGGGCGUAAAGCGUGCGUAGGUGGUUUGUUAAGUCUGAUGUGAAAGCCCUGGGCUCAACCUGGGAAUUGCAUUGGAUACUGGCAGGCUAGAGUGCGGUAGAGGGUAGUGGAAUUCCCGGUGUAGCAGUGAAAUGCGUAGAGAUCGGGAGGAACAUCCGUGGCGAAGGCGACUACCUGGACCAGCACUGACACUGAGGCACGAAAGCGUGGGGGAGCAAACAGGAUUAGAUACCCUGGUAGUCCACGCCCUAAACGAUGCGAACUGGAUGUUGGGUUCAAUUAGGAACUCAGUAUCGAAGCUAACGCGUUAAGUUCGCCGCCUGGGGAGUACGGUCGCAAGACUGAAACUCAAAUGAAUUGACGGGGUCAUAGC